This 253-nucleotide ribosomal RNA is filed under the name uncultured bacterium. RNAcentral's name for it is "partial 16S ribosomal RNA". It matches the Rfam family "Bacterial small subunit ribosomal RNA", at positions 524 to 776 of the family's 1533-position model. The record is from RNAcentral.
UACGUAGGUGGCAAGCGUUGUCCGGAUUUACUGGGCGUAAAGGGUGCGUAGGCGGGUUUUUAAGUCAGGGGUGAAAUCCUGGAGCUCAACUCCAGAACUGCCUUUGAUACUGAAGAUCUUGAGUUCGGGAGAGGUGAGUGGAACUGCGAGUGUAGAGGUGAAAUUCGUAGAUAUUCGCAAGAACACCAGUGGCGAAGGCGGCUCACUGGCCCGAUACUGACGCUGAGGCACGAAAGCGUGGGGAGCAAACAGG